Molecule: non-coding RNA, 502 nt
Rfam family: Saccharopolyspora sRNA 350
Source: Rfam
GUGAAGCUCCACUCCUUCGCGGUGCCGGACAGCACCGGCUCGUCACCGAUGUACUCGCCGUCCGCCAUGGUGCCCAGCGCCACGUCGUCGCCGUACUCGCCGCGGCCGGUCUUGGUGACCUUGCCGUGCGCGAUGACGAUGAUCUCGUCGACGGACUCGCCGCGCUGCGCGAUCACCUCACCCGGCUGGUACUCGCGCUGCUCGAAGCGGUUCGCGACGGCGGUCAGCGCCUCCUCGUCCUCGAACCCGCGCAACAGCACGAACUCCGCGAGCUCCUGCGGCACGAUCCGCACCUCGGAACCCACCGCGGUGAACGUGACCCGGCCGUCGCCGAUCGCGAACGUGAGGCGCCGGUUGACCCGGAACGCGCCACCCUUGGCCUCGACCCACGGCAGCAUUCGCAGCAGCCAGCGGGGCGAGAUCCCCUGCAUCUGCGGUGCGGACUUGGUGGUCGUCGCGAGGUUGCGCGCAGCGGCCCGCGACAGGCUCAUCUGCUGGUCCU